UACGGGGGGUGCAAACGUUGCUCGGAAUUAUUGGGCGUAAAGCGCACGUAGGCGGUCUGGUAAGUCGGGUGUGAAAGCCCGGGGCUCAACCCCGGAAGUGCACACGAAACUGGCAGGCUUGAGUAUGGAAGAGGGUCUCGGAAUUCCCGGUGUAGAGGUGAAAUUCGUAGAUAUCGGGAGGAACACCAGUGGCGAAGGCGGAGACCUGGGCCAAUACUGACGCUGAGGUGCGAAAGCGUGGGGAGCAAACAGG
RNAcentral lists this ribosomal RNA (253 nucleotides) under uncultured bacterium. Its description in RNAcentral is "partial 16S ribosomal RNA". It matches the Rfam family "Bacterial small subunit ribosomal RNA", at positions 524 to 776 of the family's 1533-position model. The record is from RNAcentral.